Molecule: ribosomal RNA, 429 nt
Filed under: Actinomycetes bacterium
Lineage: Bacteria; Bacillati; Actinomycetota; Actinomycetes
Description: Actinobacteria bacterium partial 16S ribosomal RNA
Rfam family: Bacterial small subunit ribosomal RNA
Source: RNAcentral
UAGGGAAUCUUCCGCAAUGGGCGAAAGCCUGACGGAGCAACGCCGCGUGAGUGAUGAAGGUCUUCGGAUCGUAAAACUCUGUUAUUAGGGAAGAACAAAUGUGUAAGUAACUAUGCACGUCUUGACGGUACCUAAUCAGAAAGCCACGGCUAACUACGUGCCAGCAGCCGCGGUAAUACGUAGGUGGCAAGCGUUAUCCGGAAUUAUUGGGCGUAAAUCGCGCGUAGGCGGUUUUUUAAGUCUGAUGUGAAAGCCCACGGCUCAACCGUGGAGGGUCAUUGGAAUCUGGAAAACUUGAGUGCAGAAGAGGAAAGUGGAAUUCCAUGUGUAGCGGUGAAAUGCGCAGAGAUAUGGAGGAAAACCAGUGGCGAAGGCGGCUUUCUGGUCGGUAACUGACGCUGAUGUGCGAAAGCGUGGGGAUCAAACAGG